This 253-nucleotide ribosomal RNA is filed under the name uncultured bacterium. RNAcentral's name for it is "partial 16S ribosomal RNA". It matches the Rfam family "Bacterial small subunit ribosomal RNA", at positions 524 to 776 of the family's 1533-position model. The record is from RNAcentral.
UACGGAGGGGGCGAGCGUUAUUCGGAAUUAUUGGGCGUAAAGGGCGCGUAGGCGGCCCGCUAAGUCGAACGUGAAAUCCCCGAGCUCAACUCGGGAACUGCGUCCGAUACUGGCGGGCUUGAAUCCGGGAGAGGGAUGCGGAAUUCCAGGUGUAGCGGUGAAAUGCGUAGAUAUCUGGAGGAACACCGGUGGCGAAGGCGGCAUCCUGGACCGGCAUUGACGCUGAGGCGCGAAAGCCAGGGGAGCAAACGGG